AAAAAAAUAAAAAAAACCAAGCCCAACAGUUUAAGAAACCCAUCUGUGAUCCAAAUAUCCCUUGUGUUAAUCUUAGUAUUCUACAGAAUAAAUUGUGUUCCAAAUGCCAGGACUGAUUAAAAAACAUCCCCCCCACCCCCACCUUUUUUUUUUCAAUGUCAAAGCUGCAUAUGUACACCAGUGGGUGCCAGAGAAGAUACUGCAGCACUGACUUAGUAACGGAGGGACUACACUGGAAUCAGGAUUAAAAAUCAACUAUCAACUCAGCUCUUUCAGUUCUCCAGACUAAGCACUUUUUAAAUCCACAAACUGGAGUAGUUUGCUGAUGAACACCACAACAGACAAAAAGCUCCAAUCCAACUGUUCCAUGAUGGAGGCAGCAUGCAGCCACAGUCAGCAGUCUAAACUGAAACAGAGGAAGGAGACAAAGAAGAACAAAUAGAGACAGAGGAUGGAAGGCAAAACUGACAGACAGUUGAACCUUAUCAAGUGACAGCUUGGCAGUUCAGGGAUGGCCCAUCCAGGCUGUUGAGUGCUUUCUUCCAUAAACCAAAUAAUGUCUUGAAAUUAUGGCAAGACCUAUCAACAAAGUGUAUUUAGAAAAAUAAUUCCAAUUUCCACUGGUGAAGACUUUCUACACAAGGGAUGGAGUCCAAGGAAAGCAAAGAGGAGAAUGCAGGGUCACAGGAAGAUAUCCGUUUGGGAAGAAGCCUGCUGCAAGGUGAAGACAAGACAAUACAGAAAACAUUUUGUCUCCAUGGGACAUUAGGAUGGUGUAGACUUUAUCUAAAUUACCUAAGCAGAGAGGGCCUCUUCCUGAUGCUCUAUGCUUCUCAUCUCAACUUUAAGCAGAACUUUGGCUUGAAACCAGGAAGAAGUAUGCCAGGAAGAUUUGUUCUGCAAGGAAUUGCUUUGGACAUCCAGUACACAGUAACUUAAGCUAGCCAUGGAGUGAGAAGAUGGUACUCAUUUCUUGGGACAAAUAAAGAUUUA
Catharus ustulatus (Swainson's thrush) is the source of this 993-nucleotide long non-coding RNA. RefSeq lists it as uncharacterized. NCBI's taxonomy places the organism in Eukaryota, Metazoa, Chordata, Aves, Passeriformes, Turdidae. The record is from RefSeq and is a predicted model, not a curated record. The transcript is spliced from 4 exons.